CCUCUUUGUUUGUUGGUUCAUUGUCCAUGUUUCCUCAACACUAACUCAUCUCCUUAUGGUUUCCUGGUGAAUUCUGUUUCAUUUGAUUUCUUUCUCCUGGUGGAUUUGGAUUUAUCCAGUUGGACAUUUUUGAAGUAAGUCUUUGUUGUCUUUUGUUAAUGAAAGUUUUUGAGUUUUGCAUAUGGGUCUUCCUCUCUUUGAGCUGAGACUGAACCAAUCUUUCAAUUAAAAUUUGAUAGACUUUGGUACUGAGUGACAACCGCCCUUAUGAAGAUUGUUUACCUGUGAUCUACUACUCCAACCUGCUCCAACCUGACCUGCAAACUCUGGAGGUAUGAUGACCAACAGUUUGGUUCAAUCAGCAUUUCCAAUAUAGGGACUGUCAUCUACAGGCUUUGGUACUCCACAAGGUGAUCUUGCUGAGACUACAUACUGUACAUAACUUGUCCCCCCAAAAUGGACAAAUCAGAUUGUUUAGGAUUCAUCAACAUUUCUGACGUAGGAAAUAUUUUGGGCGUUAAAACUCAGAUAAACAAAAAGUAUGUCUGAUCAAAUCUUAUCUUGAAAGAUAUGGAGGAAAUGGAUCUGUAAAAAUUAAAACAAAAUUUCAGUGAAUUUAAAGAUGUUACAUCAAACUUUUAGACACCGAGUGAUAAUCAAUGGCUUUAUUGUUUUAUCUUAUACACCCUGCUGUUUUAUUUUAAUGUUAGGUUAUGGCCCCAUUUAUACGUACCCUUUUUUUUUUUUUUUUUUCAAAAACGGCGACAUUUACCAUCAUUUGCACCCUUCGUUUAGGCACUAACAGAGGAUUCGCCCCUGAAAACGAUGCUUUUUAAAACUUUGGCUAGAGAGGAGAUUUUGCAAUGGCCGAUGGCAGAAACUGGGCUAAAUGUGACGUUGUUUACAAUUUAUGGUGAUCAUGGAUGCAUGUAGAAUAGAGGUCAAAUUUAUGCUGGUGCAAUCCCUUUUGUAUUUGUUUGCAUUUGCGUCUUUUCCAAAAGAAGGAAGUGACGUUGUAGUUGUUGCUGCUAUGCGUGAUUCUGAUUGGCCAACCUUGGCUUGAGCUUCUCGCUACACUGCCACCUCCAUGUUUGGCACACUCUUGAUGGCAUAUAUACACGGGUUAGUGUAAACAAAAACUUUUCUGACAACAUAGUGGUGUGCACACAGUUAUUUUUUGUAAACGGAGAGGGUGAAAUGUCAGUUUAUGAAAAUAGCCGGACAUAAAUGAAGUCUAUGUUGUAGAGCUCCGGCUGGAUCGGUCCCACCUCGUUUUUCUGGAGUCUGUUCCAUCUCCUUUCUUCGAUGUGAGAAGAUUGCAGAAUUACCGACAUGAUCUUUCCACCAUUUCUCGUUAAGCAGAGAACAUUUUGUCCUCUUUCCGCUCUGUCACUCCUUUUGUUACUGAUUGUUCGCGUUAGAGCUGUUAUGACAUUUUUUAAAUGAUUUCCUUUUCUCUGUGAUUUUCUUCUCUCUCUUUCUUUCUUUCUUUCUUUCAACCUCGUGCCAACUCUUCAGACUUUUCUUUCUCAGAGCUGUAACAUGGGUUGUAUGAGGUUAGGGUGCAGCUUUUAGUGCAGUGGAAAGUCAAAUAUCAAGGGAUGUUUUUUUUUCUUUUCCAAUGUAACGCUUCAGACCUUUUUUUGCACAUCCUGUGAUGGAAAAAAAACAACUCAUACAAACCCCUGAGUCUCCAAAGACCUCUACACACAAGAUGCACUCCUACCGAAAACCUUUAGAAAGCAUGUAUUUUCAAUAAGUUUGACAUUUUGACACCAGGAAAUAGUAAAAAAGAAAUAAUAGCAGGGAGUGAAGGGCUUAAGUGAAUAACUGAAUAAAUUAGUUGGAGUGCAAAUGGAGUUAUAUGAUCUCGGGUCUCUGAAGACCUCAGGAGUGCAUUUAAGAGUUAAAGCAGGCAGUUCAGUAGAUAAUUGACAGUUCUUCUCCCGCAGUCGGACAUGGACCUUGUCGACUCAUGAUUGAGGAAACGGGUAAUGGAGAAAGAUCGCUGAAUUUCAUCCACAAACAACAGCUCUGCCUCAUAUCCAUUAGCUGCUCCUGAACCUGCAAUACGAGGUUUCCCGUUACUGAAGGGUGAUAUUAUUUUCUCAAGGGAUGUCACUGUUGGUUUGUCAAUCAGUCUGGGAUUACAGAGCAGGCAAAGGAAGUUAAACCGAGGGGGUUAAAAGAAGGUUUGUGCACUUAACCCCAUAAAACGAGUUUAUUUCAAAUCUGUUUAUCUCAUAAAUUCCUCUGCUGGAGCCACAGCUUUCUCUCUGGCACCAUAAAGCCAGCACUUGGACUUGUUGUCUAUCAGAAAAUUUACUCUCCAGUUUGCUUGAAUUCGGCAAACCGAUGCUCCGUCUUUCAUAAAAGCUACAAAAGUCACGAAUAUGUCAACAAAUUGCUGUUGGAUUUGGCAAAUUCACACUCCCGUUUCUGCUUUUUCACCUCUACCCUCUCAGUCAAAGAAACCUCCGGCUCUUCAUCUUGAACAAAGUCUGACCCAGGAGCCAGAAAUUUUUUACAACAAAAAAAUUUCAGAGUCGAAGUCGUACAAGUUCUCUGUAUCCACGCGGAAACUUUAAUGGCUCUUUGAAAACACUCUUUCUCAGCAAGGACUAUAAUUUUCCAGCCAUUGACUAAUUCCUUAUUCGGCGUCUGAUUCAAGGAAGUCUGGAGAAACCAAACUGAUGUGCAGCGGCUGAAAAUCACUCGCAGAGUAGGAGAAUGGAGGACAGAAUGUGUGAAAUGAACGGUAAUUAAUGUUGAAUAAGUAAGGCCUGAAGAAAAGGCCAGCACGUGCUCCUCUCCUCCAGCCUGGCACUAAUGGGAAUAUGAUUGCAUUCUCUCCUUUUUUUCCCCCUCGUGAGGGUUCUUUGUCUAAUUCAAUCAAUACUUCAGGGCAUUCAAUGCACUCAGAGUGGAUGCUCUGAAUGAGGUGAAAUCAAAGCAAAGCGAUUCAGACAGCGAAUGCAGCCAGUUUCGCCGGUGGUCUAAUCUUGUAAAAAGCCUGAAAAUGCGGGCUGUGUUUUAGUCUCAGCGAGCCUGAGAAGCCCUUAAAAAAAUCAAAAACUGCAGCGGUAUUUCUAGAGAAUCAGACUGUAACCCCCUGCUAGGUGCAGUAAUAAGUUUGAGAUUUGAAGCUGGAUCUUGCAUCAUAUUAAGCUGUGACAGAAGUUGACAUUUUCUUUGUGUGAUGGAGGAGAAUUUUCGAUGUCUUUUGCCUGGAAAAGGCUGAGGAACACCAUCCACCGAGGGCAGCGGAUGUCAGCAGCUACAGUGUUUUUCAGCAACCUUUUCAACCUCUCCUGACUCCAAUUAACUUGCCAAGCCAUGUAACACAAAAUGUUGACAGGGAUGAAUGACAGCCGAGCAAAAGGUCCAACCAAUACCAUCUGGGAGAUUACAUCUUUAAUAUAUUCUCAAACAGUAUGGACGUGCGGUCGAGUGUAAUUAAUAGGCAUAUAUAUGCAUUGACUGCAGGAUCACAUUCAUAAAAUUCAGGAAUUAUAAUUUCUAUACCCGUACUCAGGCCUUUUAUGACCCUCAAGGGUGCUAAUUUGAAAGGAAAUGCAAUAACCAGACGUUAAUCUGUGAAAUGAAUUCAUAAGAUUUCACACUUAGACUCUGAAGAUACCUUUCCACUCAAAGCCAAUCAAUCAAUCAACCUUUAACUAUCUGAGUUUAUACAGCAGGAUAGACACGACAAAAUAGCUGGUCUAGAACAUAUCUACAAAGACGGGAUCAGACUGAGCCACAUCUUAACAGACCCAUCUUGAACCACAUGCACUUUGCAUCAUUUAUGAAGUUACAGUGGAGAGGAAGAAACCUCAAGGCAUGUUAGGCCAGCUUUCCAUCAGAGGACUUUAAGAAGAUUUGGAAAAGACUCCAAGAAAACUAUCGGCUCACAUUUAAAGACAAGUGUUUUCAAGAGUUUUUAGUCACAGUCUAGUCUCAGACUUUUUUUCACAAAGACUGUGAAUCAUGCAGGGUCACUAUUUUUUAUUCUUUUAGCAUUUUUUUACAGUUCAUUGUUUCCCUCUGGUGGGGAAUCUAUCUGUGGUGGUGUGUGAUUUGAAGGGGGGUGGCUCAUUGAUCAGCUGUGUGUUCGCAUAUGACAACUCGGAACUCCCUUAUGCUAAUACUUGGCACAUGGGUGCGCCGCGUAUACUGGUACAUACUGAGUCCGAGGUAGCGCAUAAAAAAACAUUAUUGUUGAGGUGUGGCGGCUUUUAUUAAACUGUGCACCAUUACAUGUAGGGAAACCCUGCAGUUGGUGUUGAAUAGGCACGUCUGAUCUGUCCACAGCUCCACUAUCUGCUCCUUAUCUAUCGUCAGUAAUUCUUCAUACAUUCUUGUUCUUUUUGUUUUAACUGCCAGCUUUCCUUUCCUGCUUUUGCUAUUGGUCAUCUAUUGGUUAUUGGUUGUGUUACGUAACUAUGACUUGCGAUAUUAUCAAACACGUUUGAUAUCAUUGCAAACCCAAUUAGAUUAGGAAAAGACUGAUAUGAAACAGCACAGAUUACCACCUUAAACUUAAUGAUCGAGAUGACGGGAGCGCGCUCUGACUCCAGUAAAACUCCAACAUUUACUGAAGACUUUCAGUUUUGAGUCUGGGACUGUGAAAACUGUUCAUUGGAAGCCCAACAUCAGACAGUCAUCUGCUGAGACUGCAUCAGGUUCAAAGAGGGGAUAGAGGUGAAAACAGGCAGAUCCACGACAGCAGAGGAACCUACAGCAUGAUGGAGCUCAGGGACUCCCAGAGAAGACUGUGAACUAGAGACUCUAAUAGGACAUAAUGUGAAGAGUUAAUGGCACAGACAGAUAGAGGAUAGUGUAAAAAGCCGUGAAAAUAAAGCAAAUUAAAGCGAGCCUCUAAAAAUUGUCUGUAUCUAACUGAUUAAGUGUUGCACCAUUUAAGUCCCACCCCCUGAAUUUCUCUGGUUUUACAGGAUACAACUCAAUAAAUAAAGUUAUUUAUUUGUUAUUUAUUUUUCAUUACAUGCAAAAUUCAAAAACAGUAUAAAAAUAGAGUAUCUCAUUUUAAGUUUAAGUAAAUUAUUGUUCACAAUUUCUAAAAUCAACUAAAAUGUUUUAAUUUUAGUUUCAUGAUCUUCAGUUCGAAACAUUUUAAAUUACUCAUUUUUUAAUGUUGUGAUUUCUGUUUUUGAGUUUGAGUAAACUGCUCUCCAAACAGUUCAAGUGAUCAGUUUCUCUUGGUCCAGUUUGGUACAGUUCUUCAUCACCGUGCUUUAAUGCAAAGCUGACUAGAAGAGAAAACACGGGCUCUAGGAAAAGGUGCUCAAGCAGCAGGGAUGACCCCGGCCUUGAGAGGAUUGAAGGACUACAGAGAGCUUCUCAAGGAGUAGAUUGAGUCUGGUGUCAGCGAUUCAAGAGCCGCCAUGCACAAACAUCUUCAGGAGACUACAACUGAUGCAUUCUUAAUAUCAAGCAGAGACGUCAGAAGCGUCUUUACCUGAGCUAAAGAGAAGAAAAAUAGCUGCUCAGCAUACAAAAAUCAAAGUAUUAUGUUUCAUCUGAAAAUCAAGGUCCUGGAGUUUGGAGGAAGAUCAGAGAGGCACAAAACCCAAGGUGUUUGAAGUCCAAGGUUAGGGUUUUUCAGUCUGUGAUCAUUUGGGGUGCCGUGUCAUCUGCUGGUGUUGGUCCACUAAAGUCUACCAAGAGGUUUUAGAGCAUUUCAAGCUUUAUGAGAAUGCUGAUUUCCUAUCCAGCAGGACUUUGCACCUGCCCGCUGCGCCAAAACUACCACUUAAUAGUUUCCUUACGAUGAUUUUUCGUAUCCGACAUUCACAUUUCUGUUCAGUAAAAUCUCCUUUUUUAAUGAUCUUUGGAAAUAUACAUAUAAUUUAAGAAACUGGCCAUCUCAAAGCCAAAUUUAUCAAAAUUAAAACCAAAAAUAGGCUAAAAACUAGGGCUGUAAAGUCCUAGUCCAUUGGUUGAAUUGUUUGGUCCAUACGUACUGAGUCGACUCAAAAUUCCGAUUGGUUGACUUGAUUUUUUUCCACGUUGAUUUACAGUCUAUGGUUAAUUUCAUCAGGAGGAAUGUACCAAGUGCUAAUGGGGGUGUUUUCAGGGCACCCCCAUCUAUUUCACAGGUAACAGCUUGUCUCAGAAUACCCCCCAUGUUUUCACAAGUUUGGAUUUGUCCAACCCCCUGGAGACCAGCUUGGAGACAGGAGGAUUGAAGAGUGUCUGGUGGUUUGCUAAGUAUUUAUUUUUGUUUUGAGUGUUUCAACUUACUUGUGCUGAUAUCAGUAUAUUUUUACCCCAUUGAGCCAUGCCGCAGAAUAGUUUGCCCGCAGAGUCGGAAAAAUCCUCCCCCAGCUUAAUCUAUUUUUGGUCAAAAAUUACAGGGUUUUAGUCGACCAAGAAUUUCUUUGGUUGAUUACAGCACGCCUAAAGACAUAAUUUUUUUUCAGUAAUCGUUAAAGUAUACGUGAAAGUUUACCAUGCUAAAUCAAAUGAACAAAAAAUAAAGCUGUACUUUCUCCUUUGUGGGAACUUUUAAGAAUUAAGAAUAAACAUUUUAGGACUUUUUUGCCUCCAGUGUUGGAGACAUGCUGCGUGCGUCCCACAUCCCCUGAUCGGUUGGCCAACAUCCCGAGAUGUGGUGAAAUUGCCACAUUUUACAUCAGCAGCAUGAUAGCGUGAGCGAUCCCCAACGAGAACGACCAAUUCAGGCCCACAAAAGGCUCCCCACUCCUCUCUCCUUCUGAAAUGGUUUGGGUUUUUGCAGCAUCUGACCUUGAGCAAACCACUAUUACGCGGACUUAUUCAUCCCAGCGUCUCAUCAGAGGCUCACAGCCGAGUUGGACAAGUGUGUGGCACUUCACAGGGGCGGCAGAAGCCCUCCCCCAAAUACCUGCUUAAAAGCAGCAAAGCAGCAGAGAUAAGCUGCAUCAAAUCGAUUAAAAUCAUGCACGGGGUGUGGUGGGAAAAAAUGAGACAAUUUAUUUUUCAGGUCAUAUCGCCCUGCCCUACUUUUCUCCCUGUAACACGUCUGCUCACACACACACACACCCUCCCCGCAGCAAUCAUUUUCAUUAUCGGGGCGUUUUAACAGUGCAAACCUUGUUUAUCUGUUAUUCUAUCUGUUCCAAUGACAGAACACAAAGCGACGUUUACUUUUACAAGCCUGACACACAGUACGCCAAAUUGCAUGAUGGCUGCAGAAGCAUUCAGCGUGAUUCCGCCUCCAAAGCGGAAUCGACAAUUAUAAUAGCUGUUUGCGGUGAAAGAGGCGUUCAAUAUAUUUCCUCUUGCGGUAAUCAGUCCUGUGUGGCUCAACUUAAACCUCGCUGAAUGCAGACGGACAAAACAUCCUCACUCAUGCGCAUCGCUCAGCUGCUCUCCAGCUCUCCUCCCCCGGUAAUUGUGUUUUUCUUUGCACUUCGGCGAUAAAAUUGCUUCUGUUGCCUCCACCCUCUUUUCUCUUCUUUCAUUUACUCCAGAUGUUUUAUUAACUUCAAGUUAUUUCCUCUAUGAAAGCCAUGUGACUCCAGGGUGUACAAGCUGGAACGCAGCUUUUAAGGGUACAAUACUGUCCAAUAAACAAAAACAGACUGGAAUCUGUCAAAUCUGUAUAAUUUUCCUAUUAAGUGCAAUUCUUAAGGAAUUUCAUGCUAUACUAAUGUAUUUUCUGCCCUGGUGCAAUAUGCCUUCUGAUAAAUUCCAGCUAUAAUGCAUUGAAAAAAGGCCCGUGAAGGUUCAGCAUGCAGAAAAAUUGAGUAAUUUUAAUACACAAUGCACUCUGCUUUCUGAAACACGGAUCCAACACCCCGCCAUAAUAAAAGCAGAGGUUGUAAAUCACCCUCACAGCCACUGCUUCUGCCUUCCUGCUCAGAUUACAACCUCUGCAGCUCCUCUCACUGCUGCUGCACACCAUUUUGGAACUCAUCAGCCGCACUAACACCCGAGCUUCUGCCUGAAAUAUACUCCCAAAUGAAAUUUGGUGCGUUUACAUUGGCAAAAAUGAAAGUGCCAAAAAGAAGCUCCACAUGAGGCUUUGAUGUUUGCGGUGUGCCAGAGUGUGCGGAGAUUUACUGAAAAUGAGAAUAUACGCAUGAUUCAGGAGAUAAAUGAGACUCAGGGGCAGGAGGUUCAAGGAAACUGCUCUACAUUUAAGGCAAGAGCUCGCAGUAUUACACGCUUCUGUUUUUCUCCACUGAUGCCAUGAAAAAUCUGCAUCUUAACACUCGCCUUCUUUUAUUUAUGAACUUCAGCCUCACCUCCCAAAACGCUUUCAAAAUGUACUGGAGUCACAAAUAUUCACUUUUGAGAACAUCUUCAAACCAAAGUGUUUUGUAAAGGUCAUUUAUCACCAGUGAGAGGAUGAUUUUUAACAAUUUAAGGAUCAGACUGAACUUAAAACUGAAGCAGAAACCAACAGGAGCAUCAGUGAGAUCCACAGUUUCUGUAUGACACUAUUAAUGGAAAAGAGGUGCCUUUGUUGACAUUUCCGGUAAAAAAGAUUCGAUAAGUAAUGCUGUAGAGGGGUAAAACCAUAGACUGUAUAUAGAAUGGACGCCGUCUGCCUCCUCUUUGGGUAAAGCCACUUUGAGAACAGCACCCUCUGGUGACGGGCUGCAGUAAAGGUCAUAAAUUUCGCCUCCUCCAGCAAUCCCAAUAGAGCUGUGGACAAACUUUAGAAAUUAAUUACACAGAACAUACAUUUUUCUCCCCCCUUGUUGUUAUGUUGACAUGCAGUUACUGUAAGACUGGUUUGUGCUCAAGUUCUCUUUUUUCUGUGCAGCUCCGUUUUUAAAAGUGAUUAGGGAGUUCAUGUUUUCUACGAUUGACACUUGAUACAGCCUAUGGGCGCACGAUUGCAUAGCUCACCUGGGGGAUACGCUGUUUGAGCCGAGUGUCAUUACAGCGACUCUCCUGCCAAAUGCGUACCAUGCUACUGCGCAUGCAGUGAUUCCAUGAAGUGGAAAAAAUCCUGCAAAUCCCGAGAGCAAUUCAGCAUCAAAUUCGUAUGACGGAAGGCGGAACCAAGUUCUCCAUGGUAGGGGUGUCCCGACUUUCUUACUUCUGAUAUGAUACUGAUGUUGUAGCCUUCAGUAUCGGCAGAUACCGAUAUUAAUCCGAUAUUGGCAUAAACUUGUGCGUGGCAAGUUUUGCACUCAGCUGCAGUGUCUUUUUCUGACUUUAACAAAAAAUACUGCCACACCUACUCCUUUGUUUGUACCUUAGUUCACACUGUUGUUGUGUACUCUUCUCACCAAUGUUUUUACUAUUGCAGCAUCAUGAAAAUUACUCCAUACUUCCCCUAGUGGUGAUAGUUAAAGCUCCAGUGAGGAAGUUUAAGUUUGUGUUAGCUUUUGCGCCCCCUUGCGGACAAAGCAGUCUAUACGCAUCUCAUUCUAUACAUUUCAGGGGUGAAUCUAGACAUCAAAAACCUCAUUCAGAUGAACAUUAUUGUAUUGUUCAUGCAAUGCUAUGGUUCAUUCAGAGGGAGGCGCUCUCGAGUUAUUGUAGUGUUUGGUAAGCCAGAAGAAGGAAAAAACAGGGUUCAGCUGUUCAAAACCACUAGUAAGAAAGUGUAACACAGGUUUUUGCAGAAUAGCUACACUGUUUUUAUGUGUUUUUAAAAAGCUGACUUAAAGCGUGCAAGUUUUACAAAUUGCAUUGGAGUCUUUUUUCUAAAACUUAACAAUUAUAACUCACCUCUAUUAUUGUGAAUAUCUUAUGUGGCAAUUAGAGAAACAGAUUUGUUAAUUUGGCUGCACUUACAACACCUACCCUCUUGCACCAGUUUAAGCAUUAAUAUUUACAACAUAAAAAGUGGUGAAUUUUGUCGCUGAUUGUUGUGUUUGUUUUUGGUAAGGGUAAAAGUGCAUCAAUGUGAAUCUCAGUCUGUUUCAUAAAUGUGAAAAAAAAGUCCCCAGUGGAGCUUUAAUGCUUGAAACCCUUUCUAUUUGCUUUUAUUGAAUGACCUUCAAGAAAGCCUAAAAACGUGCAGAUAGAAGUCAUGUCUGCAGAUGUAGAUAAAGUUUCUCUGUUGUUGUUGACAAAGACAUUAUCUUUAAUGUAAUGUUUGUGGAGGUUGCACUCCAGCGCACAGUCAGUGCUCCAUUCAAUUGUAAUGGCGACAGGACAGUUGUUGUGGAAUGACACAAAAACAACAUAAUUACAAAUGGAAAUACAGUCACUAAUGAAGCGACACGGGCUUCUUCUUAUUUCACACUUCCAAACUCCCCCGAACACCCGCUAACUUAUCUCACAAAUUUGGCAUUCUAUGUUCGCUGCAUCAUUUCUGGUCCCUGCCUCUGCUCUGCCAUCGCCACGGGGCAGCAGUCAAACUUACAGCCCCUCCACCUCCCCGGCAUCCACCUGCAGGCUGCGACUAGAGGGUUUAAGAUAUUAUCUCAUCGCUCAUCACUGACGAUAAAACUGCGAGGAGUGUUGAGGCUGGAGACUAGAUGCUAAACACGAUAUUUUUAACUUGCCUCCUGUGUGAGCUUUUACUACGCACCCACCAUGUUAAGGGUCGGUUUUGACCUGUGUCUUAAAUCAGCUGCAAAUAACACAAAAACAUUUCUCUAUCGUCCAAUUUGGUUCUCAUCUCUAGGUUACCUUGUUAAACUUCAUUAUCCAUGAAAGUAUUGCUUAGAAUAGCUUUUGUAGUGGGGCUCUGGUUCUUUCUUUGUCAGUUUACCCCUCACACAGACAUCUAUACUGAAUUGAUCUCACAUGUCUGGACAUGCCUGACGUUUUUUGUGCAGUGAGACAUGGCAGAAUGAGAAUUUCCUAUAUCUCACAUGAUUGGAAGAGGAUCUGACUGUCAGUGUGGUGCCUCACAGUGCACUUAUGAUUUCAGUUUUUGCUCUAAUUAUUAGAUUUGGAUCUAACCGGGUCAACAGUGAUCCUAACACAACAAGUGCCAUAAUAUUAAUAAGAGCAUUUUAUAAUUUAGUCAAUUUACUUUUUUGUUUUUAUUUUGUUGGAAUAGAGGUUCCUGACAAUGUCAAAAAGUCUUGAUGCAAAAAAAAGCUAAUUAAAGUGGUUCUUUUAAGCAAUUAAAAUCAAAAACGUGUCAGUGCAGACCCUAACACAGGAGGAGGGUUAAUGCAGUAUGUGGUACUUGUUUGUGUUGCUGAAUCAAAAUGCUUUAGCUAUCAUUUUUCAGCACUUGAAAUCUCAGAUAUGCAUCCAUCAAUACGUCAGUGAUCUCCUCUGAUCCUCUCACCUCCAUCAUUGUUGUAAUCAUUUCAAUCAUGCGUCCUCAUCUCAGAUUAUGAGCAUGACUGCAGUUAGCUUCUGCAUGUGAGUAAUUGUGAAAUGGUUCCAACAUUUAUUGGAUCUGCUCUUGGAUAUCAGGGUUACGGUUAGGUAACUGAUGGUGUAUUAUCAUGCUGAUGCAAUGACCAGUGAGUCAUACAGAGAUGAGUCAUGCAUGUGUUCAGUGUUUUUGUAUUGUCCAACCCUUCUUGUCUCAUCAAAGGUCAGGACUGUGGAGCCAAAGUAGCUUACAAAUCUGAAACGAACAAACACGAAUCCUGCGGGACACGGACUGUUGUGCUGUUCAAAAAAAAUAAAUAAAAAAUACGCCACUCUGUUGAUGGAUCCUGAUGAAAACUCAGGGGAUCACCGAAGCCAUUAGGGUUCAAACUCAGGGGAGUUUGUGCCGAAUGUCAGGCCGCAGUGCAGCCCAUGGUUAUUUCCCCGAAGGCGACAAAUGUCAAACCCCCUUGGAUGCAUUUGAGGAAAGGUUGGGGAUCGCAACAUUCAGUCGCGAGCAUCUUUUCAGAGGGGGGCAUGAAUAUCAGUAAAGCACAGUAAAGCUCUCUUAUUCGUGGAGAUAUUCCUGCAGGAACCAAAGCAGUGGAGUGAACAACCAAGCAACUCCAAAGCCAGGAGAGAAAUUAAAAAAACCUUACAAACAAAUCUGUGCCAUCUGAUUUUGAAUUUGAAUUUCUAAAGCUGAAUAUUUUUGCAUCAAAAUCAGACUUUCAAUUUCGAAACUAUUGAUUGUCAAGCAUGCAUUUUUAUUUCUGACACUUUUUUUUUUACAAUCAUGAAAUAAAUUCAGUGUAAAAAAAUCAGUCUCUAAAAAGAUUUGUUUAGUAAAAAUUCAACUUAAAAAAAAGCUGUGUAAAAAAAUAAAAUAAAAUAAUUCAACAUAAAAAACAUUUUAAGUGUCCAAUAAUUCAGUGUAAAACAGACCGACUCAACAUCCGGGUAAUCAGGGAGAGGAAAUCGAUUCCUGGCUCAAUCAUCCAUCGUCCAGCCAAUCAAAUAAUGCUAGACUGUUCAUGUGACCCUAGUGGAAGAGUGAGGAAUCUAUUGCAUCUCCCUUAUUACCCAGAUGUUGAGUCGGUCUGUUUUUUAUACUGAAAUUUUUGUUUUGCAGGUUUUUUUUUUAAGUUGAAUUUUUACUACAAGAAUAUUUUGAGAGACCAAAUUUUUUUUUUUGACACUCAAUUUAUUUCAUCAUUGUGAAAAAAAAAAAUAGUGAAAUAGAGAUAUAAGAAAUAAGAAAUAAGAAAUAGAAAUGCAUGCUUGAAAUUCUAUAGUUUGAUUUCGAUGCAAGAAAAAUUUAGUUUAAGAAAAUAAAAUUCAAAUCCAGGUGGCACAGAUUGACUUCCAUUCACACUUUUUUUCUUUUCUCCGAUUACACAAGAACACUGAAAACAAACUAAUACAUCCUUAAUCUUGCAUGUGCAGAGGAAGCCGACCGAGAAGGCGGACAUGUGACCCCUCAGGGUGACACCUUUAGCUCAACACUCAUCGGGCGGAAACUGCUGGACCUGCUGGAAGGGAGAAGAAUGCAGGUCACACACAGACACACACAGACACGCAGGAAAAACAUGUCUGUGAAUAACAACCACCAUUGAAAUUCCAGGCCAUAGCCCUGGCUCUAAAUAAGCACAGAGGUGUAAGCAGAGAAUCACCAUUGCCAUUCAAAGGAAGCAAAAACUUCACACCUCCAAACGUCAUUAUGCUUAUCCAAACCCUUAUCGCCGCUCUGGAAUUACUCAGUUGGUCUGCAGUGGGAUCACAGGAGGACCUUUUGAUGCAACCUUCCAAGGAAGAAAUAAAGCAAAAAUAUGAUGGAAUAAAAUGCCCACCUCUACUGUACAGCUGUGCUAUCAGCUCGAAGCUCCGGCUUUCACUCGGGCAUGCAGAGGGUGUUUUGUGCUGAUAAAUUUACCAAGUGUACAUCAGGGUGCUGGAGACGCAAGGAAUUCAGAGGUAGACCGAGAGAUCUGGGGACCCUAAAGAGGAUUACAAACCGCCGCCACCGUAACCACCGCUACCCUUGUCAGGGCCUCAAGCUGCACGGUGGCGAUAUCCAUCAGGUGCAAUGAAUGCAGACUACAGCCUGUAAAAGCAGCAGAGGGGACUGGAGCUCUGCUGCUGUCCUAAAUCAUCUAAAAAAUCACCUCACCAAGUCUUCUUUGAGAGAUUUAAAUAUUUUCUCUUGACUAUUUUAUGCAAAUGACUCAAUGAUCAUUAUACAGAUUAUCGGGUUGCAUUAUUCAUCGCGUAAUGGGGGUGCAGAUGAGCCUAGACAAUUGGCUCUACCAUUUAAGAUGGGAAUGGAUGUUUCAGGCCUCUGGAAAUUUGGCAGAUAUCAUAUUAAAUGUCCGGGUCUCUUAAAGCAUCCUCAUUAUUCUGAGUUAAAACAAGCACUGCCAAACUUUGCCUAAAACAGUCGUUUUAAAGUUGAUAUUUUAAUUGAUAUGUCUGCCUUUUCAAAAGGUGAGUUUUAAAAUCGUUCGCUGGAACAUGUUUAAAGAAAGAAAAAUCCAAAAUUUUAGAGACGGGCUGCAGUUACACUUUGUAUUUCACCUCAAGUAACCAUUAGUUGCCUUGGAGUAUCUCUACUUUAACUCAAAUAAUGAUGUGUCCUUUGUCCGCCACCAGGAAUAAAUUACACAAUAAACUUCUGAG
This 13923-nucleotide long non-coding RNA is filed under the name Xyrichtys novacula (pearly razorfish). Lineage: Eukaryota; Metazoa; Chordata; Actinopteri; Labriformes; Labridae. The record is from RNAcentral.